UAGAGUUUGAUCCUGGCUCAGAUUGAACGCUGGCGGCAUGCCUUACACAUGCAAGUCGAACGGCAGCACGGGCUUCGGCCUGGUGGCGAGUGGCGAACGGGUGAGUAAUACAUCGGAACGUGCCCUGUAGUGGGGGAUAACUAGUCGAAAGAUUAGCUAAUACCGCAUACGACCUGAGGGUGAAAGCGGGGGACCGCAAGGCCUCGCGCUACAGGAGCGGCCGAUGUCUGAUUAGCUAGUUGGUGGGGUAAAAGCCUACCAAGGCGACGAUCAGUAGCUGGUCUGAGAGGACGAUCAGCCACACUGGGACUGAGACACGGCCCAGACUCCUACGGGAGGCAGCAGUGGGGAAUUUUGGACAAUGGGGGCAACCCUGAUCCAGCAAUGCCGCGUGUGUGAAGAAGGCCUUCGGGUUGUAAAGCACUUUUGUCCGGAAAGAAAUGGCUCUGGUUAAUACCCGGGGUCGAUGACGGUACCGGAAGAAUAAGCACCGGCUAACUACGUGCCAGCAGCCGCGGUAAUACGUAGGGUGCGAGCGUUAAUCGGAAUUACUGGGCGUAAAGCGUGCGCAGGCGGUUUUGUAAGACAGGCGUGAAAUCCCCGAGCUCAACUUGGGAAUGGCGCUUGUGACUGCAAGGCUAGAGUAUGUCAGAGGGGGGUAGAAUUCCACGUGUAGCAGUGAAAUGCGUAGAGAUGUGGAGGAAUACCGAUGG
Molecule: ribosomal RNA, 713 nt
Filed under: bacterium enrichment culture clone ADE_29
Lineage: Bacteria
Description: bacterial SSU rRNA
Rfam family: Bacterial small subunit ribosomal RNA
Source: RNAcentral